This is a long non-coding RNA of Drosophila navojoa, 128 nucleotides long. NCBI's taxonomy places the organism in Eukaryota, Metazoa, Arthropoda, Insecta, Diptera, Drosophilidae. The record is from RefSeq and is a predicted model, not a curated record.
GAGUGUGUUCGAGAGCGUGUGUGUGUGUGUGUGUUUGUGUGUGUGUGUGCCUGCCUGAUUUAGUGUCAUAUAUCCAAGCCAAGAGCAAACAAAUAAGAUUCUCUUAUGGCUAGAGUAUGCUUCCAUAA